UACGUAGGUGGCAAGCGUUAUCCGGAAUUAUUGGGCGUAAAGCGCGCGUAGGCGGUUUUUUAAGUCUGAUGUGAAAGCCCACGGCUCAACCGUGGAGGGUCAUUGGAAACUGGAAAACUUGAGUGCGGAAGAGGAAAGUGGAAUUCCAUGUGUAGCGGUGAAAUGCGCAGAGAUAUGGAGGAACACCAGUGGCGAAGGCGACUUUCUGGUCUGUAACUGACACUGAUGUGCGAAAGCGUGGGGAUCAAACAGGAUUAGAUA
RNAcentral lists this ribosomal RNA (261 nucleotides) under uncultured Staphylococcus sp. RNAcentral's name for it is "partial 16S ribosomal RNA". It matches the Rfam family "Bacterial small subunit ribosomal RNA", at positions 524 to 784 of the family's 1533-position model. Lineage: Bacteria; Bacillati; Bacillota; Bacilli; Caryophanales; Staphylococcaceae. The record is from RNAcentral.